AUUGAACGCUGGCGGCAGGCCUAACACAUGCAAGUCGAGCGGAUGAAGGGAGCUUGCUCCUGGAUUCAGCGGCGGACGGGUGAGUAAUGCCUAGGAAUCUGCCUGGUAGUGGGGGAUAACGUCCGGAAACGGGCGCUAAUACCGCAUACGUCCUGAGGGAGAAAGUGGGGGAUCUUCGGACCUCACGCUAUCAGAUGAGCCUAGGUCGGAUUAGCUAGUUGGUGAGGUAAAGGCCUACCAAGGCGACGAUCCGUAACUGGUCUGAGAGGAUGAUCAGUCACACUGGAACUGAGACACGGUCCAGACUCCUACGGGAGGCAGCAGUGGGGAAUAUUGGACAAUGGGCGAAAGCCUGAUCCAGCCAUGCCGCGUGAGUGAAGAAGGUCUUCGGAUUGUAAAGCACUUUAAGUUGGGAGGAAGGGCAGUAAGUUAAUACCUUGCUGUUUUGACGUUACCAAAAGAAUAAGCACCGGCUAACUUCGUG
RNAcentral lists this ribosomal RNA (484 nucleotides) under uncultured bacterium. Its description in RNAcentral is "partial 16S ribosomal RNA". It matches the Rfam family "Bacterial small subunit ribosomal RNA", at positions 30 to 507 of the family's 1533-position model. The record is from RNAcentral.